AUGAAGGGAACCGAAGACUCAGCUUUGGAUCGAAGCUUCUCCCCGCUGCUAAUGUUUGGUCAAAAGCACCCUAGGCCUCACGGUACCAACGCUGAAGAUGACGAGGCCACGAAAAGAGGAGACGACGAGACGGCAAAAGACCCGCUGUUUUUCUACAGCAUAAGCAGGAGACGCUCGGUGUGCAAGAUUGUGGACGACCUGCGAGACCACUUGUACUGGACAACGCCGGGCGGCUGGCUGCUCAUGGCGCACCCUGGCUCACGCCUGACGUUCCUGUGGAACCCGUUCACGCGCCAGAGAAUCGGCCUGCCCCCUGAUACAGAGAAGUUCCUCACGAGGAACCCGGUCAGGUGCGCGUUCUCGCACGAGCCCACGGACCCAGCCUGCGUGGUGCUGGUGGUGAACCGCGCCGACACGGUGCUCUGGUACUGCCGCCCGGGAGCGGGGGCAGCCGCCGAGUGGUCCGAGCACGGCUACUACCAGGCAGAUGCAGGCGGCCUGGGCGCCCACCACGGCCGUGACGACCUCAUCCACGGGAUGAGCCUCGUGACGGCGGCGGGCGGGAAGUUCUACGCGAGCCUGCUGGGCGCCACCGUGCUGACGCUAGAGUUCUCGCCGGCGGGUCCGGCCUUCACAGAAACCCCCAUCGCCGAGCAGUCAUGUCACCCGAUGUACCGCGCGUGGAGCCUUCACCUGCUGGAGUCGCGCGGGGAGCUCUUCAGCGUCUCCUUGUACCACCCGCUGAUGGAGCGGUGUGACAAGGUUGCCCAGAUCGUCGUCCGCAGGCUCAACCUGCCGGCGAGGGCUUGGGUGGAGGUGGACGCCAUCGGGGAUCGGGCCUUCUUGGUCGACGCCGCCCGUUUUGGCGCGUCGGUCGGCGCGGAAGAGGCCGGUCUCAAGGGGAACUGCGUUUACUAUCUGAGGCGCGGAGAGAAGGGGCUGUAUGUCUACGACCAAUAA
This 960-nucleotide ribosomal RNA is filed under the name Triticum aestivum (bread wheat). RNAcentral describes it as "partial small subunit ribosomal RNA". The record is from RNAcentral. Lineage: Eukaryota; Viridiplantae; Streptophyta; Magnoliopsida; Poales; Poaceae.